Molecule: ribosomal RNA, 936 nt
Filed under: Arthrobacter sp.
Lineage: Bacteria; Bacillati; Actinomycetota; Actinomycetes; Micrococcales; Micrococcaceae
Description: bacterial SSU rRNA
Rfam family: Bacterial small subunit ribosomal RNA
Source: RNAcentral
UUGGGCGUAAGAGCUCGUAGGCGGUUUGUCGCGUCUGCUGUGAAAGACCGGGGCUCAACUCCGGUUCUGCAGUGGGUACGGGCAGACUAGAGUGCAGUAGGGGAGACUGGAAUUCCUGGUGUAGCGGUGAAAUGCGCAGAUAUCAGGAGGAACACCGAUGGCGAAGGCAGGUCUCUGGGCUGUAACUGACGCUGAGGAGCGAAAGCAUGGGGAGCGAACAGGAUUAGAUACCCUGGUAGUCCAUGCCGUAAACGUUGGGCACUAGGUGUGGGGGACAUUCCACGUUUUCCGCGCCGUAGCUAACGCAUUAAGUGCCCCGCCUGGGGAGUACGGCCGCAAGGCUAAAACUCAAAGGAAUUGACGGGGGCCCGCACAAGCGGCGGAGCAUGCGGAUUAAUUCGAUGCAACGCGAAGAACCUUACCAAGGCUUGACAUGAACCGGAAAGACCUGGAAACAGGUGCCCCGCUUGCGGUCGGUUUACAGGUGGUGCAUGGUUGUCGUCAGCUCGUGUCGUGAGAUGUUGGGUUAAGUCCCGCAACGAGCGCAACCCUCGUUCUAUGUUGCCAGCGCGUUAUGGCGGGGACUCAUAGGAGACUGCCGGGGUCAACUCGGAGGAAGGUGGGGACGACGUCAAAUCAUCAUGCCCCUUAUGUCUUGGGCUUCACGCAUGCUACAAUGGCCGGUACAAAGGGUUGCGAUACUGUGAGGUGGAGCUAAUCCCAAAAAGCCGGUCUCAGUUCGGAUUGGGGUCUGCAACUCGACCCCAUGAAGUCGGAGUCGCUAGUAAUCGCAGAUCAGCAACGCUGCGGUGAAUACGUUCCCGGGCCUUGUACACACCGCCCGUCAAGUCACGAAAGUUGGUAACACCCGAAGCCGGUGGCUAACCCUUGUGGGGGGAGCCGUCGAAGGUGGGACCGGCGAUUGGGACGAAGUCG